Long non-coding RNA from Trachemys scripta elegans, 901 nucleotides. RefSeq lists it as uncharacterized. The transcript has 4 exons. NCBI's taxonomy places the organism in Eukaryota, Metazoa, Chordata, Testudines, Emydidae. The record is from RefSeq and is a predicted model, not a curated record.
GAGCAAAACUGAGCAUUCAAACAAUGUGCAUGAUGGCGGAGGGGAGCUCGGUCUGAGGAUUAUUGCUACAUACUUACCGAGACUCUUGCUGGAGGAAUAUUUGCAGAGCCUAGAGACAGCCGCUGAACAGUCAACAUUUGCUAAUAACCACAGCAGGCUGAAACAAGACUUUCCAUAGGGAGAUCUAAGUUUCCGUGACUGUCAAGAGCAUGGGGAGUGCAGGCUGAGCUAAACCUUUGAAAAACAUUUAGGUCACCUCCCAGCAAAUGCACCAAGGAGCUGCCAAAGAAAAGCAUAACAAUCUUUCAGCUUCAAUCAUUUCAGCUGAAAUUGUAAUGCAGAGGAAGGUCGACAUGAUUGCCUUCUUCCAAAACUCAUGAUCGUACGCCAGGCUGUCAUGCAGAUUGGUCUUUCUGAGGUCCACUGGUAUCCAGUCCACGUGCCGAGUCUUUGGUCAUCUUCCAUCCAUGGUCAUCGCAAGGGUCAUUGUACUGACACAGUUCUCCAGUCUCCACUGGAUAUGCCCAUACCAACAUAGCCUAGCCUCCCUCAACCUGUCCAGGGGCGGUGAGUUAUAUGGGCCUGUGGUGCCCGGGCGCCAGCAAAUUCAGGGCCCAGGGGCUUGGGCUCCACCAUUGUUCAGGGCCGGGUCUCUCCACCAGCCCUGCCUGCUGCCCCUGCCUGCCCUGGGCAGUGGACAGCUGCCCCCUGCAGCUCCGCGCUGCGCUCCCUCGCCAGCCGUUGCCACCACCCGCUACAAGGGAGCGGUGCCAGGGGCAGGCUGAGGCGGCUGCUGCUGCGCCGGAGGAGGUGCAUGGCAUACCCCUCUCCCCAGCAGGCGACUCCGAGUCAACUCCAGGGGGGAGGGAGCUUAUCCUGGCGGGACCUCCUGAACAGCAAC